Molecule: long non-coding RNA, 723 nt
Filed under: Setaria viridis
Lineage: Eukaryota; Viridiplantae; Streptophyta; Magnoliopsida; Poales; Poaceae
Description: long non-coding RNA (SVIR_LNC008941)
Source: RNAcentral
GGGGUACACGAGGUAGUGUUUUAUGGGUGGCGUUCGCCGAGAUCAGGAACUCGAUGGUGAACUCGAACACAUGAUUUAGACAGGUUCGGGCCGCUUAUGUAGUGUAAUACCUUACGUCCUGUAUGUUGGUUAUGUUGUAUUGAUUGAACUUGUUCGGAAGGGGUCUUUGCCUCACCUUAUAUUACCAGGGGUAGGGUUACAGGUCGGUUGUUUUACGAGAAUACUAGUCUGAUUCAAUUGGAGAGUCCUACUCUAAUUUAUAUGAGUAGUUUCCUAAUCCUCGUCUACUUCUUGUCCUCCACAUAGACCACACCGUCCCGCACCAUAAUCUCCAUAUCUGACACAUCUCGGUGUACAGCCCUGUAUCUACGACUGUCCAAACCUUCCAGUAGGCCCAUAGAUGUAUGGCCGACAAAAGGGUCCGCUUUCUUGUAGGGUGGCAGUUUUCGAAAGGUUCACCGGAGGUAGUAGUUUAAAGAUUGUUUGGAUGAGAUGCAUGAUGUGCUUGCUCGUUGUCUAGAACUACAACUAGAAGAUGAUAGGCUCUUUGGAUGUGAUUUACCCUUAUUCAUUCCACUAAUCUUUAUAGCAUGUCUCCUUUUAUAUGCAAUCAAUUCUUCAUGCUAUGAUUGAUCCGUUAUACUAGAUAGAAAACCCUAGUCAGUUCGCUACCGAUCCACAGAUUGAUAAACUUUAGAUGGAAUACUCUAAGGGAAAAGCUAU